AUUGAACGCUGGCGGCAGGCCUAACACAUGCAAGUCGAACGGUAACAGGAAACAGCUUGCUGUUUCGCUGACGAGUGGCGGACGGGUGAGUAAUGUCUGGGAAACUGCCUGAUGGAGGGGGAUAACUACUGGAAACGGUAGCUAAUACCGCAUAACGUCGCAAGACCAAAGAGGGGGACCCUCGGGCCUCUUGCCAUCGGAUUUGCCCAGAUGGGAUUAGCUUGUUGGUGGGGUAACGGCUCACCAAGGCGACGACCCCUAGCUGGUCUGAGAGGAUGACCAGCCACACUGGAACUGAGACACGGUCCAGACUCCUACGGGAGGCAGCAGUGGGGAAUAUUGCACAAUGGGCGCAAGCCUGAUGCAGCCAUGCCGCGUGUAUGAAGAAGGCCUUCGGGUUGUAAAGUACUUUCAGCGGGGAGGAAGGGAGUAAAGUUAAUACCUUUGCUCAUUGACGUUACCCGAAGAAGAAGCACCGGCUAACUCCGUG
Molecule: ribosomal RNA, 490 nt
Filed under: uncultured bacterium
Lineage: Bacteria
Description: partial 16S ribosomal RNA
Rfam family: Bacterial small subunit ribosomal RNA
Source: RNAcentral